CGGACGGGUGAGUAACGCGUGGGUAACCUGCCUUACACAGGGGGAUAACACUUAGAGAUAGGUGCUAAUACCGCAUGAGCGCACAGGACCGCAUGGUCGAGUGUGAAAAACUGAGGUGGUGUAAGAUGGACCCGCGUCUGAUUAGCUAGUUGGUGAGGUAACGGCCCACCAAGGCGACGAUCAGUAGCCGGCCUGAGAGGGUGGACGGCCACAUUGGGACUGAGACACGGCCCAAACUCCUACGGAAGGCAGCAG
This 255-nucleotide ribosomal RNA is filed under the name uncultured bacterium. RNAcentral's name for it is "partial 16S ribosomal RNA". It matches the Rfam family "Bacterial small subunit ribosomal RNA", at positions 99 to 354 of the family's 1533-position model. The record is from RNAcentral.